This 338-nucleotide ribosomal RNA is filed under the name uncultured Russula. RNAcentral's name for it is "eukaryotic LSU rRNA". The stretch from base 283 to 338 matches the Rfam family "Eukaryotic large subunit ribosomal RNA", at positions 1 to 56 of the family's 3401-position model. The record is from RNAcentral. Lineage: Eukaryota; Fungi; Basidiomycota; Agaricomycetes; Russulales; Russulaceae.
GUGAGUCAUCGAAUCUUUGAACGCACCUUGCGCCCCUUGGUAUUCCGAGGGGUGCACCCGUUUGAGUGUCGUGAACACCCUCAACCUUCUUGGUUUAUCGACCGGGAAGGCUUGGACUUUGGAGGUUUUGUUGCUGGCCUCGUUUGAAGCCAGCUCCUCCUAAACGAAUUAGUGGGGUCCGCCGUGCCGACCCUCGACGUGAUAAGUACGCUUCUACGUCUUGGGGUUUCGCACUGUCGCCUGCUUCCAACCGUCUUUGAAUGAAGACAAUCUUAUAGACCUUGACCUCAAAUCGGGUGAGACUACCCGCUGAACUUAAGCAUAUCAAUAAGCGGAGG